GGAGCUUUCGAACGGCAAUCUUUCGGCGCUUGCGGCGCUGGAAACGAUGGCGAACAAGCUGCCGUGGUUCGAUGGCGCAGGCUCUGC
RNAcentral lists this transfer RNA (87 nucleotides) under Gemmobacter nanjingensis. RNAcentral describes it as "tRNA-Ala". Lineage: Bacteria; Pseudomonadati; Pseudomonadota; Alphaproteobacteria; Rhodobacterales; Paracoccaceae. The record is from RNAcentral.